CGGAGAUAGAAGACCUGCCUGGCUGGGUCUCAAAUGAGUCAGGACAGACUUCCACCUGUAACUGAGCCUCGUCCCUGACUGUCACCUCAGAAAUGAAGGAAGGUGGGCGUUUCGGGUGGGGAGAAGUGGCAGGCAGGAGUGGCUGCAGAGCUGACCGUGAGGGACACUCCUUUCUCUGUCCUCUCCUGCUAGGAUGGGGCAGAGGACAGUCCACUACCCACUGCCCCGGGCGCGGAGCUCUCCUCACAACAGCCCUACCACCAGCCACUCUAGGGCUAAUGGAGACUGAUUUUAGGCAGAGGAAGACGGACCCUUCCAGAUGUUUCUGGCCUCCUCCUCUCCUGGGCCUCUUCCUCUCGUUCCUGGCAUGUCUUAAUCCUCCUGGUGGAAGUCUCCCACCUUUCAGGAGGACCUGUUCACCAGGACCCCUCAUCUCCGUGUCGUCUACACCUUCCACGGUGAAGGACACGCUCUCAGCCCUGUGUGGUGUCUUGAACGUGUGCACCUGUAUAACGUCUUCCACAGAAUUUGGUGAGCAAUUGAUUCUGGAAGAAACACGGUGGAGAUCUUCCCCAAGACUGGGGUGCUCAGAGGGAGCCCUCCCGUGGAGCUCAGCUCACAGCACCAGGCUAACUCAGGUUUCUGGGGCGGCGGCCUGUCCCGCCUCAGCCUGCCGGGGACGCCAUGUGGACGCCACGCUGCUCGACUGGCACAGAGGGACCGCAGGCGCCCGGUUCUCGGGCCUCUGAGGCUGGAGCCAGGGUUAGUGCCACUGUCUGGUUCAUCAAACGCUGCAGAGGCCGUGAGGAAGGCUGGCUUUCUCCAGCAAACCCCAUGCUCCCUUGUUCACUGUGAGACCUGGCAGCUGUCUGGAUUUACUUCUCACAAAUCACUUGUUCUACUUUCUGUAUCUUAUCAGAGGGGAAAUUGUGGAAUAAAACCUUUCAGGAUCUAGGAUGCUGGCGGCUGACUGGAUCUGGGAAGGCCCUCCUGGUACCUGGCCCUGCCUGCCUGUUCAGUCUAUGGGCCGGCCAAGCUGUAACACCACUAUGAACAGGAGUGGAAACAUGGGGGAGCAUCAGGUCACACCCCGACACUUGUCACAUGUCGGCUUCAUCAAAUGUGACAUUUACUUCGUGGGUGAGUUUUAUCCAGAUGUUCCUAUCCGUGAUUUUCUCAUUAGUUCUUGACCUGCCUUAUUGGAAGGGGAAGACGGGCAGAUGACCAGGCUGCUCGUGUUGCUUCAUUGGGUCGGGACGGCAGUUGUUCCGUUGGCCAUUCCUAGUAGUGUCACCCUGGCUCUUACGUUCUUGACCUAAAGAACUCCCGCUGGAAUACACGAAACUCCACCGGAAAGAGAGGUGACACAUGUCAAGUGCAUUUUGUGACACUGGUAGUUCUCCGCUCUUUAAGAAAAAUAUAAACACUGUGGUAUACUGGGCCUGCAAUUUAUACUUCUGAAGCCAGAUCAUAUCUGUGACCUCUUUUAACAUGAAAAGGAAGAAAAUCAAUAGGUGCAAAGAUGUGUGACCAUGAGAGCUGAUAAGCUAAUGUGCGCUUCCCUGAGCCUACGAUUUUCUGUCACUCCUGGUUCACAGAACUCACUCUGCACGUGUGCAACCCAGGGGGAGCCCUGUGCACCCGCCUCACCACCCUGCCUGUGAUGGAUGCGGCGCCUGGCAUCUGGGAAAGGUUACCGCGUUGAGAGAGCAUCGCAGCCGCCAUUCUUUCCUCCGUGUUCUCUGUUUGCAUCGUUGGGGUGAAGAAGCAGCUGCAGCAGCCCCAUAGCCUGGGGUAGGACGCAGUUCUGUGUUGGUCACUCGUGUUCAGCCUGCACACGGGGCUCAGAGCCUGGACUCGUGCUCCCUCGCCAGAACCAAGGGCUUUCCCGGGAGAGUGGAGUCAGCGUGAACGCCUGACAGAUGCUCUGAGCGCUGAGUGGAAAGACUUCUGCACUUGUGACACGUAUUUAUAGGAGUUACGUUAAAAUCCUUCUCACACAAUUCCAACCUCUGGCUUAUCUGGUAUCGUUACCCAUUGAUUGUCUUUUAUCAUUCAAGUUGUGAUUACUUUGACUCUUUGUAUGAUAAAUGAUUUUGGAGUGAAGCCGGACAUUUUGGGUAUUAUAUUGAGACUUUGGGUCCUUUUUAAUCUCCCUUUUGUUUUUGGGUAAGGAAGGUUGGCCCUGAGCUAACAUCUGUUGCCAAUCCUCCUGUUUUUGCUUGAAGAAGAUUGUCACUGAGCUAACAUCUGUGCCAGUCUUCCUCUAUUUUGUGUGUGGGAUGCUGCUGCAGUAAGGCUGAUGAGCAGUGUGUAGGUCCAUGCCUAGGAUCUGAA
Molecule: long non-coding RNA, 2337 nt
Organism: Equus caballus (horse)
Lineage: Eukaryota; Metazoa; Chordata; Mammalia; Perissodactyla; Equidae
Source: Ensembl